This 468-nucleotide ribosomal RNA is filed under the name uncultured bacterium. RNAcentral's name for it is "partial 16S ribosomal RNA". It matches the Rfam family "Bacterial small subunit ribosomal RNA", at positions 28 to 507 of the family's 1533-position model. The record is from RNAcentral.
GACGAACGCUGGCGGCGUGCUUAACACAUGCAAGUCGAACGGAAAGGCCCUGCUUUUGUGGGGUGCUCGAGUGGCGAACGGGUGAGUAACACGUGAGUAACCUGCCCUUGACUUUGGGAUAACUUCAGGAAACUGGGGCUAAUACCGGAUAGGAGCUCCUGCUGCAUGGUGGGGGUUGGAAAGUUUCGGCGGUUGGGGAUGGACUCGCGGCUUAUCAGCUUGUUGGUGGGGUAGUGGCUUACCAAGGCUUUGACGGGUAGCCGGCCUGAGAGGGUGACCGGCCACAUUGGGACUGAGAUACGGCCCAGACUCGUACGGGAGGCAGCAGGGGGGAAUAUUGCACAAUGGGCGGAAGCCUGAUGCAGCAACGCCGCGUGCGGGAUGACGGCCUUCGGGUUGUAAACCGCUUUCGCCUGUGACGAAGCGUGAGUGACGGUAAUGGGUAAAGAAGCACCGGCUAACUACGUG